Salmo salar (Atlantic salmon) is the source of this 2305-nucleotide long non-coding RNA. RefSeq lists it as uncharacterized. Lineage: Eukaryota; Metazoa; Chordata; Actinopteri; Salmoniformes; Salmonidae. The record is from RefSeq and is a predicted model, not a curated record.
UGUUAAGGAGAGGAAGCUCAGUUGCCUGCAGUGAGAGAUAAUUGGAGUAAAAUAGAACUGGGCUGACAUUCUGCUAAUUUUCUCAUCGAUUUAACAUUUGAUCUCAAUACAGUUUUCUGUUCUCAAAACUAGAAUAUUUUACAAACAGAUUCAGUGAAGGUUUUGUAGACUUUACCCUUUACCAAAGCUUUAAAAAGUUUUAACCACCUCCGAUAAUCCAUGAAGGAACGUGUCGAACAGGGAUUCCGGGUUCCAGGCACUCUCCGUGGCAACAGUGCAAAGAAAACACAGCAUAGUCUGCCACACUAUAGGAGUCUUGUCGCAGUUGAAGUGGCUUCCGAGCAGCCUCUCCUGGACAACGGAGAAUUGAACACUUUUCUUACCUCCACCACAAACUCCUCAGGCUGAGGCAAACGGUGGAUUGUUGCGCCCAGGAGUGCUUUCCCGGACAUGAGUGAUAACAGGUACGCUAUCUUCGAGCGAUCCGAGGGAAAUUAAAAAGGCUGCAGCUCGAAGAUGAGGGAACACUGGGAGAGAAACGCCCGGCAGGUUUCUGGAUCUCCAACAUAGCGUUCUGGAGACAAAUAAUUAGUAGUAAAACUUUUGGUCUGAAUUUUGAUGUCGCCAGAUUGACUUUAGUUGCAGUGUAGCGUUAGUUAGCUAGCUAUAAUAAAUGGGAGACCUCCAGAUUUUAGCUAGCAAAUGUUAUCAUUGCUAGCUAACUUUGACUAACUUUGCUAAUGACAACAUUGCCAUCUGUCUAAAGUACAUUUCACAACAUGCUGAUGAUGAUGAUGGCAAAGUUGUUUCCUACUAAAUAUGUAAAGAAUUUAGCAAUGGCGUCAUAUUCCUAAACCCCUAUAGUGUAAUGUAGAUGAAACAGACAUUAUCCCCGGUUUAAAGUCAUUAGCCCCAUUCUACUUUGGAGCGUCAGUAUGGAUGCGGCGUCUGUAGAACAUUGAUAACAAUGGCAACAACGCAACGGAGUGACGGAGGUGCAACCCAUGUAUAAGUACACAUUAGUUACAGGUGUGGCGUUAAACCUGGAGAAGUGGAACCAGCUGAAGAAGAUAAUCCGAGACAUUGACACUGUGAUCCCGAAGAUCUAGACCCCCCACGGUGCCCAGUGAGCAGCCAUGACAGCCCAGAUCGAUUCCCCUCUACACAAGCGAACCUGUUGUCACUGACAGUAUAUCACUUUAUUUAAUCCACUGUUAAAUGGCUUUAACAUCCUGCAGAUAUGUUCAAUUAAAGCUCUUUGUUUUACAUUCCUCACUUUACAAAAUAGCUGUCUGUUCUGCAUUUAAAUUCUGUAUUGUUUUAUUUGUUAGUUGGCUUUAUAAGCCAUGGCUUUAGUUGCAAAGAACAGAUGUAUUUUCUGUGUAAGUGUUCUUGACAGCAUUUGUAAAUAGAGAGGACAAAUUAAUGAAGCCUAUAUGAAGUUAGUCGGGGUAGGUUUUUGUUAAAUAAUAGUAUGGUAGCCUGCACUAUCCAUUCAUCUUUGGAAAUGCAUACGUUUCUUGAAGUAACACACAGACUAAAAAACCUUUCUCCAUUAUUACUUUGCUCAUUUUCUCCCAUUAUCUGUUGAGUAAUCAGAUGCAUGGAUUAUGAUCUGAUCAUGGUUUUUAAUGGGGAAGAGCUGCUUUGGUGGUUCAGAAAUAUAUCCCACUAAUUACCAGACUGUAGACAGCAGUGGAAGCUGGUGGGAGGAGCUAUAGGAGGACAGGAUCAUUGUAAUGGCUGGAAUGGAAUUAAUGGAACGGUAUCAAACAUAUGGAAACACCAUGUUUGACUCUCCCAUUGAUUCCAUUCCAGCCAUUACAAUGAGCCUGUCCUCCUAUAGCUCCUCUCAUCAGCCUCCACUGGUAGAUAGUGUAAUGUUCAUUGUUACAUGCUGUUUGACACUGUAGUUAACUGAAGCCGCCUCUUAUAUUCCAGAAGAGAGAGCAAGAAGUCAAUGGAUUGAACACUGCAACUAACAAUGCAAGACCAUCAAGACAAUUAGCAAUAAAUGGGGACAAAAUAAAGGAAUGAUAGUAUGGAAAUAAAGUGGGAAGUUUUCACUUUGAGGGUAAUAGUAUGGAAAUAAAGUGGGAAGUUUUAACUUUGAGGGUAAUAGUAUGGAAAUAAAGUGGGAAGUUUUAACUUUGAGGGUGAUAGUAUGGAAAUAAAGUGGGAAGUUUUACACACAUAUUUAUUUGCAUCGAAAGAUGCUGCAGGUCUUGUCCUGGAGGUUUAAAGCAGUAUGUAGCCUAUUGGAAACAACGUGUAAGCAAAUAAAAAAAUAUUAAUUUAAAGGACA